UACGGAAGGCAGCAGGGGGAAUAUUGCACAAUGGGCGAAAGCCUGAUGCAGCUAUGCCGCGUGUAUGAAGAAGGCCUUAGGGUUGUAAAGUACUUUCAUCGGGGAGGAAAAAACAAAACUAAUAAUUUUAUUUCUUGACGUUACCCGAAAAAGAAGCACCGGCUAACUCCGUGCCAGCAGCCGCGGUAAUACGGAGGGUGCUAGCGUUAAUCAGAAUUACUGGGCGUAAAGAGCACGUAGGUGGUUUUUUAAGUCAGAUGUGAAAUCCCUGGGCUUUAACCUAGGAACUGCAUUUUGAAACUGAAAUACUAGAGUAUCGUAGAGGGAGGUAGAAUUCUAGGUGUAGCGGUGAAAUGCGUAGAUAUCUGGAGGAAUACCUGUGGCGAAAGCGGCCUCCUAAACGAAUACUGACACUGAGGGUGCGAAAGCGUGGGGAGCAAACAGGGAUUAGAUACCCGU
Molecule: ribosomal RNA, 459 nt
Filed under: uncultured bacterium
Lineage: Bacteria
Description: bacterial SSU rRNA
Rfam family: Bacterial small subunit ribosomal RNA
Source: RNAcentral